GGGACUGGAGCUCAGAGGUAGAGCACUUACUUUACAUGUGCGAAGCCCUGGGUUCAAUCCCCAGCACCCCCU
RNAcentral lists this transfer RNA (72 nucleotides) under Rattus norvegicus (Norway rat). It matches the Rfam family "tRNA". From Rfam's summary of the family: Transfer RNA (tRNA) molecules are approximately 80 nucleotides in length. Their secondary structure includes four short double-helical elements and three loops (D, anti-codon, and T loops). Lineage: Eukaryota; Metazoa; Chordata; Mammalia; Rodentia; Muridae. The record is from Rfam by way of RNAcentral.